RNAcentral lists this long non-coding RNA (1562 nucleotides) under Gossypium barbadense (sea-island cotton). Its description in RNAcentral is "long non-coding RNA (GBAR_LNC006022)". Lineage: Eukaryota; Viridiplantae; Streptophyta; Magnoliopsida; Malvales; Malvaceae. The record is from RNAcentral.
AAUUAUACGAAUGUAGCAAACAGACUUAUUAACAUGGAUUAAGGCAUACACAUAUUAAAUGUAUUUUAAAUUAACCGAUUGUACAAAUAAAGGACCAAAUUAAUAUUGCAGUAGAACAGGGAGGAUAAUUUGCAAAUAAAUUGUUCAUAAUAUGGACCAAUGCUCGAUGCAUAUAAAUGUAUGAGGACCAAAAAUUUUUCCCCAAGCCAAAAACCGCAGUACUGUAUCAUGGAUUAAAAUGAAAACACGCUCAAAUCAGUAAGCUAAAUUAAAAAAACAAAACAAAGCGAAACAGAUGCAAUUGAAGCCCUACGCAAAUGCAGAGGACUUAGCGUGCAAAUUUCUCACUUAUACAAAAUUGGCGCAGAUCCGAUCCACAAUUCAGGCCAAUACGCGGACCUUCAUGGCUAACAAACGAUGCCGUUUGGCUUUAUGGGUGAUUUUGGACCCUUUUUCCUUUCUUUUUUCAAUCGCCCAUCCAUUUUAACAAAAAAAAAACAGCAGCCCUAAAUUAAUAUUGCUAGGGCUCUUAGUGUUUGCCGAAUCCCUCAUUUUGCUUGGUAAACGGCGAUGGACCAGCAUCGAUCAAAUUCAAUGCGCGCCCAUACAAAAAUGGUAGACUAUUCUUUCCUUUUUCUUUUUUUUUUUACAGAAUCUUUGAACCAAUUUCAUUUUUUAAAAAAAAACGAAAACUAAUAAAAUGAACCCAACAUCGUUCGACCCUCGCCCGUAUCUAUAUGUGAUAUCAAGGCUUUCAUCGGUGUCGAUUUGAGUUCAUCCUCGUAUAUUCGUGCUAAAUCUGCGAAUCAAUCAAAGAAAAUAAAGAAUAAAUCUGAGAUUCACCUUUCAAACUUUAGGCUAGAUUUUUUGAAUAAAAAGGAAAAAAAUGUAAAUCAUAUUUUUAGCUGGCAUUUCUGUUAUUCUUUUUGUUCUCGCAGGUUCUAUGGGAGCACGGGACUACUGUACGGUGAAGAAGGCCAUGCAGGUCUGGCAUGUUCCAGAAACUUCACUAUUUUGGGCCUGCUUUGCAAUCGGAUAGUUGGGGUAAAAACUACUGCCGCGGCACUAAUAUGAAACCUGCAUCUAGCUCAUUCGGGUCUAUUAGGCCAUUUUUUGCAUUUGGGCCCCUUUUGGGUUGUUUGUAAACUGGGUUGGGAUGUAGGUUUAUUUAGUAUUUUGAAAAUUGUAAAUGGACUUUUUUAGACUAUUUAGUCUUGGACUUUAUUUAUUUAUUUGCGUUUAUUUAUAAAUAAAUUAAAUGGGCCUGGGCAAAAUUGGUUGGCUACAAAGUCCAUCGUUACUGGCUCUCAUUUCCGCAUCGGUAUUUUAACUAGCUGUAGCAAACUCAACGGUAACUGAUGCUCAGCCUUAACCUGCUGGCACGUCAAACAGUGAGCAAUGAAGUCAGUAACCUUACGUUUCAACCCUGGCCACCAGUACAACUCUCGAAGAUCUUUAUACAACUUGUUUCCACCAGGAUGCAUAGCAUAAGGACUACUGUGUGCUUCCUUCAAAAUCAACCGCCUCAAAUCCUCAUUAUUAGGUACACAGAUCCUACCUUG